This 2904-nucleotide ribosomal RNA is filed under the name Escherichia coli. RNAcentral describes it as "23S ribosomal RNA". It matches the Rfam family "Bacterial large subunit ribosomal RNA". The record is from RNAcentral. Lineage: Bacteria; Pseudomonadati; Pseudomonadota; Gammaproteobacteria; Enterobacterales; Enterobacteriaceae.
GGUUAAGCGACUAAGCGUACACGGUGGAUGCCCUGGCAGUCAGAGGCGAUGAAGGACGUGCUAAUCUGCGAUAAGCGUCGGUAAGGUGAUAUGAACCGUUAUAACCGGCGAUUUCCGAAUGGGGAAACCCAGUGUGUUUCGACACACUAUCAUUAACUGAAUCCAUAGGUUAAUGAGGCGAACCGGGGGAACUGAAACAUCUAAGUACCCCGAGGAAAAGAAAUCAACCGAGAUUCCCCCAGUAGCGGCGAGCGAACGGGGAGCAGCCCAGAGCCUGAAUCAGUGUGUGUGUUAGUGGAAGCGUCUGGAAAGGCGCGCGAUACAGGGUGACAGCCCCGUACACAAAAAUGCACAUACUGUGAGCUCGAUGAGUAGGGCGGGACACGUGGUAUCCUGUCUGAAUAUGGGGGGACCAUCCUCCAAGGCUAAAUACUCCUGACUGACCGAUAGUGAACCAGUACCGUGAGGGAAAGGCGAAAAGAACCCCGGCGAGGGGAGUGAAAAAGAACCUGAAACCGUGUACGUACAAGCAGUGGGAGCACGCUUAGGCGUGUGACUGCGUACCUUUUGUAUAAUGGGUCAGCGACUUAUAUUCUGUAGCAAGGUUAACCGAAUAGGGGAGCCGAAGGGAAACCGAGUCUUAACUGGGCGUUAAGUUGCAGGGUAUAGACCCGAAACCCGGUGAUCUAGCCAUGGGCAGGUUGAAGGUUGGGUAACACUAACUGGAGGACCGAACCGACUAAUGUUGAAAAAUUAGCGGAUGACUUGUGGCUGGGGGUGAAAGGCCAAUCAAACCGGGAGAUAGCUGGUUCUCCCCGAAAGCUAUUUAGGUAGCGCCUCGUGAAUUCAUCUCCGGGGGUAGAGCACUGUUUCGGCAAGGGGGUCAUCCCGACUUACCAACCCGAUGCAAACUGCGAAUACCGGAGAAUGUUAUCACGGGAGACACACGGCGGGUGCUAACGUCCGUCGUGAAGAGGGAAACAACCCAGACCGCCAGCUAAGGUCCCAAAGUCAUGGUUAAGUGGGAAACGAUGUGGGAAGGCCCAGACAGCCAGGAUGUUGGCUUAGAAGCAGCCAUCAUUUAAAGAAAGCGUAAUAGCUCACUGGUCGAGUCGGCCUGCGCGGAAGAUGUAACGGGGCUAAACCAUGCACCGAAGCUGCGGCAGCGACGCUUAUGCGUUGUUGGGUAGGGGAGCGUUCUGUAAGCCUGUGAAGGUGUGCUGUGAGGCAUGCUGGAGGUAUCAGAAGUGCGAAUGCUGACAUAAGUAACGAUAAAGCGGGUGAAAAGCCCGCUCGCCGGAAGACCAAGGGUUCCUGUCCAACGUUAAUCGGGGCAGGGUGAGUCGACCCCUAAGGCGAGGCCGAAAGGCGUAGUCGAUGGGAAACAGGUUAAUAUUCCUGUACUUGGUGUUACUGCGAAGGGGGGACGGAGAAGGCUAUGUUGGCCGGGCGACGGUUGUCCCGGUUUAAGCGUGUAGGCUGGUUUUCCAGGCAAAUCCGGAAAAUCAAGGCUGAGGCGUGAUGACGAGGCACUACGGUGCUGAAGCAACAAAUGCCCUGCUUCCAGGAAAAGCCUCUAAGCAUCAGGUAACAUCAAAUCGUACCCCAAACCGACACAGGUGGUCAGGUAGAGAAUACCAAGGCGCUUGAGAGAACUCGGGUGAAGGAACUAGGCAAAAUGGUGCCGUAACUUCGGGAGAAGGCACGCUGAUAUGUAGGUGAAGUCCCUCGCGGAUGGAGCUGAAAUCAGUCGAAGAUACCAGCUGGCUGCAACUGUUUAUUAAAAACACAGCACUGUGCAAACACGAAAGUGGACGUAUACGGUGUGACGCCUGCCCGGUGCCGGAAGGUUAAUUGAUGGGGUCAGCGCAAGCGAAGCUCUUGAUCGAAGCCCCGGUAAACGGCGGCCGUAACUAUAACGGUCCUAAGGUAGCGAAAUUCCUUGUCGGGUAAGUUCCGACCUGCACGAAUGGCGUAAUGAUGGCCAGGCUGUCUCCACCCGAGACUCAGUGAAAUUGAACUCGCUGUGAAGAUGCAGUGUACCCGCGGCAAGACGGAAAGACCCCGUGAACCUUUACUAUAGCUUGACACUGAACAUUGAGCCUUGAUGUGUAGGAUAGGUGGGAGGCUUUGAAGUGUGGACGCCAGUCUGCAUGGAGCCGACCUUGAAAUACCACCCUUUAAUGUUUGAUGUUCUAACGUUGACCCGUAAUCCGGGUUGCGGACAGUGUCUGGUGGGUAGUUUGACUGGGGCGGUCUCCUCCUAAAGAGUAACGGAGGAGCACGAAGGUUGGCUAAUCCUGGUCGGACAUCAGGAGGUUAGUGCAAUGGCAUAAGCCAGCUUGACUGCGAGCGUGACGGCGCGAGCAGGUGCGAAAGCAGGUCAUAGUGAUCCGGUGGUUCUGAAUGGAAGGGCCAUCGCUCAACGGAUAAAAGGUACUCCGGGGAUAACAGGCUGAUACCGCCCAAGAGUUCAUAUCGACGGCGGUGUUUGGCACCUCGAUGUCGGCUCAUCACAUCCUGGGGCUGAAGUAGGUCCCAAGGGUAUGGCUGUUCGCCAUUUAAAGUGGUACGCGAGCUGGGUUUAGAACGUCGUGAGACAGUUCGGUCCCUAUCUGCCGUGGGCGCUGGAGAACUGAGGGGGGCUGCUCCUAGUACGAGAGGACCGGAGUGGACGCAUCACUGGUGUUCGGGUUGUCAUGCCAAUGGCACUGCCCGGUAGCUAAAUGCGGAAGAGAUAAGUGCUGAAAGCAUCUAAGCACGAAACUUGCCCCGAGAUGAGUUCUCCCUGACUCCUUGAGAGUCCUGAAGGAACGUUGAAGACGACGACGUUGAUAGGCCGGGUGUGUAAGCGCAGCGAUGCGUUGAGCUAACCGGUACUAAUGAACCGUGAGGCUUAACCUU